CCUACGGGCGGCAGCAGUGGGGAAUAUUGGACAAUGGGGGCAACCCUGAUCCAGCCAUGCCGCGUGUGUGAAGAAGGCCCUCGGGUUGUAAAGCACUUUCAGUGAGGAAGAACGCCUGGUGGUUAAUACCCAUCAGGAAAGACAUCACUCACAGAAGAAGCACCGGCUAACUCCGUGCCAGCAGCCGCGGUAAUACGGAGGGUGCGAGCGUUAAUCGGAAUUACUGGGCGUAAAGCGCGCGUAGGUGGCUUGAUAAGCCGGUUGUGAAAGCCCCGGGCUCAACCUGGGAACGGCAUCCGGAACUGUCAAGCUAGAGUGCAGGAGAGGAAGGUAGAAUUCCCGGUGUAGCGGUGAAAUGCGUAGAGAUCGGGAGGAAUACCAGUGGCGAAGGCGGCCUUCUGGACUGACACUGACACUGAGGUGCGAAAGCGUGGGUAGCAAACAGGAUUAGAUCCCCAGUAGUC
This 464-nucleotide ribosomal RNA is filed under the name Vreelandella stevensii. Its description in RNAcentral is "partial 16S ribosomal RNA". It matches the Rfam family "Bacterial small subunit ribosomal RNA", at positions 338 to 795 of the family's 1533-position model. The record is from RNAcentral. Lineage: Bacteria; Pseudomonadati; Pseudomonadota; Gammaproteobacteria; Oceanospirillales; Halomonadaceae.